RNAcentral lists this ribosomal RNA (126 nucleotides) under Leucobryum juniperoideum. Its description in RNAcentral is "partial 26S rRNA". It matches the Rfam family "Eukaryotic large subunit ribosomal RNA", at positions 1 to 126 of the family's 3401-position model. Lineage: Eukaryota; Viridiplantae; Streptophyta; Bryopsida; Dicranales; Leucobryaceae. RNAcentral also lists the same sequence under 1 other name. The record is from RNAcentral.
AGACCUCUGAUCAGAAAAGACUACCCGCUGAAUUUAAGCAUAUCACUAAGCGGAGGAGAAGAAACUAACCAGGAUUUCCCUAGUAACGGCGAGCGAACCGGAAAGAGCCCAGCUUGAAAAUCGCGG